RNAcentral lists this long non-coding RNA (1332 nucleotides) under Taeniopygia guttata (zebra finch). RNAcentral's name for it is "lncRNA (ENSTGUG00000029064.1)". The record is from RNAcentral. Lineage: Eukaryota; Metazoa; Chordata; Aves; Passeriformes; Estrildidae.
UUAUUCAGCUUCGGUAAUGAGUCGGUAAUUAAUCAGCUGCUGCCACCCAAAUUCCAGCCAAAUCCCAAAACCUUCAUCCCAAAAAUCCCAAAAUUCCCAAAUCCUUCAUCCCAAAACCCCAAAUCUCCAUCCCAAAAAUCCCAAAUUCCCAAACCCUUCAUCCCAAAAAUCCCAAAUUUCCCAAAACCUUCAUCCCAAAAAUCCCAAAAUUCCCAAAACCUUCAUCCCAAAAAUCCCAAAAUUCCCAAAUCCUUCAUCCCAAAAAUCCCAAAAUUCCCAAAUCCUUCAUCCCAAAUCCCAAACUCUUCAUCCCAAAAAUCCCAAAAUUCCAAAAUCUUCAUCCCAAAAUCCCCAAAUUCCCAAAUCUUUCAUCCCAAAAUUCCCAAAUCCCAAAAUUCCCAAAUCCCAAAAUUUCCAUCCCAAAAAUCCCCAAAUUUCCAAAUCUUCACCCCAAAUCCCAAAAUCUCCAUCCCAAAAAUCCCAAAUUCCAAAAUCUUCAUCCCAAAAAUACCAACUUUCCAGAUUCCAAAAUCUUCAUCCCAAAAAUAUCAAAAAUUCCCAAAAUCUUCAUCCCAACAAUCCCAAAAUUCCCAAAUUAUUCAUCCCAAAAUUCCCAAAUCCUCAAAUCCCAAAAUUCCCAAAUCCCAAAAUUCCCAAAAAUCCCAAAUCCCAAAUCCCAAAAUCUUUAUCCCCAAAAUCCCAAAAUUCCCAAAAUCUCCAUCCCAAAAAUCCCAAAAUUCCCAAAUCCCAAAACGUUCAUCCCCAAAAUCCCAAAUUCCCAAAUUCUUCAUCCCAAAAUUCCCAAAUCCUCAAAUCCCAAAAUCUUCAUCCCAAAUCCCAAAAUCUUCAUCCCAAAAAUCCCAACUUUCCAGAUUCCAAAAUCUUCAUCCCAAAAUCCCCAAAUUCCCAAAUCCUUCAUCCCAAAAAUCCCAAAUCCUUCAUCCUAAAUUCCCAAAUCCUUCAUCCCAAAAAUCCCAAAAUUCCCAAAUCCUUCAUCCCAAAAAUCCCAAAAUUCCCAAAUCCUUCAUCCCAAAUCCCAAAAAUCCCAAAAUUCCAAACUCUUCAUCCCAAAAAUCCCAAAUCCCAAAAUUCCUAAACCCUUCAUCCCAAAAAUCCCAAAUUUUUAAAAUCUUCACCCCAAAUCCCAAAUCUUCAUCCCAAAAAUCCCAAAAUCUCCAUCCCAAAUCCCCAAAUCUUCAUCCCAAAAAUCCCCAAAUUCCCAAAUCCUUCAUCCCAAAAAUUCCAAAUCCCAAAUCCUUAAAUCCUUCACCCCAAAAUCCCAAAAUUCCCAAAUCCUUAAGCCUAAAAAUCCCAAAAUUCCCAAACCCUUAA